Molecule: long non-coding RNA, 1250 nt
Filed under: Coturnix japonica (Japanese quail)
Lineage: Eukaryota; Metazoa; Chordata; Aves; Galliformes; Phasianidae
Description: lncRNA (ENSCJPG00005002130.1)
Source: RNAcentral
UAUGGGGCUCAGAGCUAUGGGGCACCUAUGGGGCUCUGUGCUAUGGGCAGGGGGUUAUGAGGUAGUGCUUUGGGGCUCAGGCUUAUGGGGCACGCUAUGGGGCCAUCUGUUGCUAUGGGCCACUAUGGGGUCGAGCUAUGGGCUCGUGCUAUGGGGCACGCCUAUAGGGGCUCUGUUCCUUUGUCUGCUAUUGGGGCCGUAUGGGGCUCUGUGUUAUGGGAGACACUAUGGGGCUCAGAGCUAUGGGGCAGGGGGUUAUGGGGCUCUGUGCUAUGGGGCAGGGGGUUAUGGGGCACAGGGCUAUAGGGUGAUGUGCUAUGGGGCUCUAUGCUAUGGGGUGUGCUAUGGGGCACAGAGCUAUGCUAUGGGGUGUGCUAUGGGGCUCUAUGCUAUGGGGUGUGCUAUGGGGCACAGAGCUAUGGGGCUCUAUGCUAUGGGGUGCGCUAUGGGGCGCUAUGUUAUGGGGUGCUAUGCUAUGGGGCACACUAUGGGGUGCUACGCUAUGGGGCGCUGCUGUGGGGCUGGCCCCAUCCCCGCCGCCGUCAUCAAUGGGGCUGAGCAGCUCCGGCCCCACAAGUGGCGCCAUGUGGGGCUGACGGGACCUGUGGGGCACAGAGAGAGAUUGACCCCAUAGAGCCUGACCCAUAGAGACACAUAGGGACCUAUAGGGACCCAUAGAGACCCCAUAGAGCCCUGACCCACAGAUCCCACCCCAUAGAGACCCCAUAGUAACCCACAGAGACCCAUAGAGACCCCAUAGACCCCAUAGAGACCAAUAGAACCCCAUAGACCCCAUAGAGACCCAUAGAGACCCCAUAGAGACCCAUAGAGACCCAUAGAGACCCAUAGAGACCCCAUAGAGACCCCAUAUCAUCCUAUAUAACCCAAUAUCCCCCCAUAUCCCCCCAUAGAACCCCAUAGAGGCCCCAUAGAGACCCCAUAGACCCCAUAUAACCCCCAUAAACCCCAUAGACCCCAUAUAAACCCCAUAGAGCCCCAUAGAACCCCAUAUAAACCCCAUAGACACCAUAGAACCCCAUAUCACCCCAUAUCACCCAUAGACACCCCAUAGAGACCCCAUAUACCCCAUAUAACCACAUAGAGACCCAUAGGGACCCCAUAGAGACCCAUAGAGACCCCAUAGAGACCAAUAGAACCCCAUAGACCCCAUAGAGACCCAUAGAGACCCCAUAGAGACCCCAUAGAGACCCCAUAGAGCGCUGACCCACAGAUCCCACCCCAUAGAGACC